RNAcentral lists this ribosomal RNA (1059 nucleotides) under Triticum aestivum (bread wheat). Its description in RNAcentral is "partial small subunit ribosomal RNA". Lineage: Eukaryota; Viridiplantae; Streptophyta; Magnoliopsida; Poales; Poaceae. The record is from RNAcentral.
AUGCUCGAUUUUCAUGCCUUAUUAUCUCCAAACUUAAACAAAUCAGCAAAGCAAAGCAUUGAGGAAACUAACCGGGAUCCGUCCCAAUCCAAACUGUUGUGGGAGCAGAUGGGGGACGUGGCCAAGGACCUGGCCGCCGGCACGGUGGGCGGCGCGGCGCAGCUGGUCGUCGGCCACCCGUUCGACACCAUCAAGGUGAAGCUGCAGAGCCAGCCCACGCCGCCGCCCGGCCAGCCGCCCAAGUUCGCCGGCGCCAUGGACGCCGUCAAGCAGACCAUCUCGGCCGAGGGCCCCCGGGGCCUCUACAAGGGCAUGGGCGCCCCGCUCGCCACCGUCGCCGCCUUCAACGCCGUGCUCUUCACCGUCCGGGGCCAGAUGGAGGCCCUGCUGCGCUCCGAGCCCGGCGCCGCGCUCACCGUCGGCCAGCAGGUCGUCGCCGGCGCUGGGGCCGGCGUCGCCGUCUCCUUCCUCGCCUGCCCCACCGAGCUCAUCAAGUGCAGGCUGCAGGCGCAGAGCGCGCUGGCCACAGCCGCUCCUGCCGCCGCCGCCGCAGCCGCUCCCGCGGGCGGCGCGGCUGCCACCGUCACCGCCACGGCCAAUGCUGCCGCGGUCAAGUACGGCGGGCCGCUGGACGUGGCGAGGCACGUGCUGCGGUCGGAGGGCGGCGUGCGGGGCCUCUUCAAGGGCCUGGUCCCCACAAUGGCGCGCGAGAUCCCCGGCAACGCGCUCAUGUUCGGCGUCUACGAGGCCACGAAGCAGUUCAUUGCCGGCGGGCAGGACACGUCGGAGCUGGGCAGGGGCUCCCUGAUCCUCGCCGGCGGGGUCGCGGGGGCGGCGUUCUGGGGGUCCGUGUACCCGACCGACGUGGUGAAGAGCAAGCUCCAGGUGGACGACUUCAAGAACCCAAAGUACUCGGGCUCCAUGGACGCGUUCAAGAAGAUCCUCGCCGCCGACGGGGCCAGGGGUCUGUACAGGGGGUUCGGGCCGGCCAUGGCCCGCAGCGUCCCGGCCAACGGCGCCUGCUUCCUCGCCUACGAGGUGACCAGGUCCCUGCUCUAG